RNAcentral lists this ribosomal RNA (235 nucleotides) under uncultured bacterium. RNAcentral's name for it is "partial 16S ribosomal RNA". It matches the Rfam family "Bacterial small subunit ribosomal RNA", at positions 96 to 334 of the family's 1533-position model. The record is from RNAcentral.
UGGCGGACGGGUGAGUAAUGUCUGGGAAACUGCCUGAUGGGAGGGGGUAACUACUGGAAACGGUAGCUAAUACCGCAUAACGUCGCAAGACCAAAGAGGGGGACCUUAGGGCCUCUUGCCAUCGGAUGUGCCCAGAUGGGAUUAGCUAGUAGGUGGGGUAACGGCUCACCUAGGCGACGAUCCCUAGCUGGUCUGAGAGGAUGACCAGCCACACUGGAACUGAGACACGGUCCAG